Macaca mulatta (Rhesus monkey) is the source of this 404-nucleotide non-coding RNA. The record is from RefSeq and is a predicted model, not a curated record. NCBI's taxonomy places the organism in Eukaryota, Metazoa, Chordata, Mammalia, Primates, Cercopithecidae.
GGAAAGGAAGAGGAAGAUGGGUACAUAGAAAGACCUGCAGGGCCACUAGAACACCUUCUCCUGGGCCUAGGAGGAGAGCUUGCCUAAAUUCCCCUGAAUCCCCUUCAUGAAAAAGGUCAGUCUUCCUGGGCGAAGACCACAGAAGUCCACAAGAGGCUGCCUCCUGGGACAUUAUGGAAACAGGGGCUGUGGGCAGGCAGACUAGAGAGGCAUUUCAGCAAUGGUUUGACCUGGAUAGAGGACUUCAUCAACAAGGUUCUUUCAUCUUCCUUUGUUGUUUGGAUCCUUAAGCCUGGCUUGAAAGAAGAGGGAGAAGUCUUCAGGGGAAAUGCUCCCUGCGCUGACCCACAGGAUGGCUUCCUUCAACAAAUGCAGCCACCUUUGAUUAGCUGCCUGCUACAAGA